AAGCCAAGAAUUUAUUUUGAGUCCAAUUGAAAUCUUUAUAGUUGAAAUAUUGAAAAUAUUUGAAAUAUUAUUACCCCAGAUUAGAUCAUUACAGAACAAAAAAAAAAAAAAGAAGUAUUUACAGAAAAAGUAUAAUAACAUAGAAUUGUCACACACAUACUUCCUAGUCUCUGCUUCUUUUCUUGAUAUUAUGCUCAGCCUUCCAAUGCCUCUUAGGGUCCUAGCACUAAAGGUUUCAGAAAGAAGAGGAGGUCAUGCAACUCAAAUUGUUUAGCCAUGAGGAACACGGUAUUGUUGAUUUCUUCCCCCUCAUCUUAGGAACCUCUUGAAGUAAUAUUUAUGUGUUUUCUAACUUGCAUGUUUUCUAACAUAAACCUUGCUUGCUCUUUACUGAUUAGUUCAUGGUACUGCCAAGUUUCCUAUAUAUGGUGCAUUUCAUGUAAGUUAGAUGGUUGUUCUUUGUUCUCUUUGUACCUCUAAAGGCAGUUUUGCUCAGCUCUGAGUAAUUUCUUCAGCUGACUGUUGAUGAGUUGUUUAUAGUGCCUGCAAUGUCAGCCUGUACCGGGUCUUCUACCACCUCAUGCCUGCACUCCUCUAGACCAUGUCCUGUGUCCUCACUUUUCAAGGCAUCUCCUAUCAUAUCAUAUCUUCUACAGAGAAUAUCUAUAUAAAACUGUGGUUAUACCAUUCAAAUGUAAGAAAAAUCAUGCAAAUUGGGCAUAACCACGUGAUCAAUAGGAAAAUUCUAUUAUAGCUAAGUUGGGAAGUUGCAGGCAUUCAAGAGAAGUUGAGACAAAAUAAGCUUAUUUGGCAAGCUGCUGUCCUGAGGCCUUGCAAAACCGGAACUGCUGCUAGCACUGGCAAUACAGUAUUUAUUGGGCUACAGGACAACACUACACCAGCUAUGAAAUGAUGUACAUUGUCUUCCUUAGUAAUGUGACUCCAGUUAGGGAUAUCACUCUUGGAAACAUUUUGGAACUACUUCAUCUAGUUUUUUAUGUCAUGUCAUUUCUACAGUACCAUAUUUUCUCUCCUUGUAGGAUUUAUGGUCCCAGUUCCUGACUUUUUAAUGAGAAGGCUGACAGAGGGUUUCAGUCAUUCCUGCUAUGGCUGGGCCAUCAUCUCUCACACUUCAAGUCAUGGCACUUCAUCUACCCUGAGUAUUACUCAUUCUGGGAUCUAGAGGUAGUUCAGGUAAUAUGAAAAGCAGGCUGAUCUGCUACAGGCUGCUUUGAAAGUUUGCUUUUGGUUUUAGUGACAGCUAUUUGCUUAAAUUUCUCUUAAUAUGUUAAAUUAAUACAUGCUUCAAGAAAUGAUCAGGCAUGAAGAAUGCAGUUAAACAUAGUAUCCAGAAGAAAUAACAAAUGUGGCACAGAGUUAGACAUCAGGUCCCAUAUUUACCACAAUUCGGUAAUUGCUGUGGUUUGCUCUCUCUGGUUUGCCCCCAGAUACAUGCCUUAAGUGGAAAGUUCAAACAUAGUCCCCUAGCAUAGAAAGUAGAAGGUCUAAGGACUUGCACAAAAAUCUCUACAGCUUGUGAGGAAAGUAACCUUCCAGUUCAUCAGCUGAGCCUUUUUGAUGUGGUUGUUCCUCCAUUAGCUGCCUUCAGUGUUGCUACAGUAAUAAAUCACGUCCAGUAAAGGUACAUAUAGAAAGCAAAUAUUGAAUGACUUUUCGUGUUUGUGAUUUGCUCUGUUAUUGUGUAAAUAUAUUGUUAUACUGGUUUAUAUGUAGCUAUAGAGAAUAACACAUUUAGCAUUUUAUUUUUUUCAAGCCACAGCUGACAGGUAGCUCCCUAGGAUAAGUUCACUCUUAUAACCUAAUAAUAGUGCAUGGUUUUGUUCCACCUCUGCAAACACACUGAGCAUUUUAUGGUAUGCUCCUAUUGGACCCAGCCUAAUACUGAACUUAGCUUUUGAAUCACCCCACUCUUUCUAUCACGUUCAUGAUUUCAGUUCCCAGGGCCUCAUCCUAGUGAGCCAAACAGAUACGUGACUGAGCAGCAAUGGAAUCUUAACUAAAAACUGUUCUGCAUGGGAGCAGUGAAGGCAUUCAUCCUGAUUUCAUGUCCAUGCAGAGAGUUAGGGACCCUUCUCUUUGGGCAUAAGAUACAAAAUCAUGUUGGGGACCUGCACCAGGGGGACCAGGGGCAGUUCUACUCUGAAAAUUAACUUUGUAAAAGAAAUUUCAAAUAAAAAGUUACUUCUGGUUGCUCUACUAAAAGAAAUUAAGUGACAAGGAAAAGCUGUUGGCCCUGUGAUGUUGAGCCAGACCCUUCACAGUACUGCUCUAUCCUGGCUGUAUGAUUUUAGCACAGUCUUUACACGUGGCUUUUACGUGCCUUCAGUGCAAUUAACAACUAGGAUUUUUUGUAGCUCUAGUAAACAACGUUAGUGCGCAUCCAGUGCCUUUUUCUGAGCAGUGUACGCUUCCUAGAGCUAACAGCUAAAAUUAAAAAUGCCUAUUUUGUUAUUUGAUG
Strigops habroptila (Kakapo) is the source of this 2479-nucleotide long non-coding RNA. The record is from Ensembl. Lineage: Eukaryota; Metazoa; Chordata; Aves; Psittaciformes; Psittacidae.